CCUACGGGGUGCAGCAGUGAGGAAUAUUGGGCAAUGGGCGGAAGCCUGACCCAGCAACGCCGCGUGAAGGAAUAAGGCCUUCGGGUUGUAAACUUCUUUGGGGAGGGACGAAGGAUGUGACGGUACCUCCAGAACAAGCCACGGCUAACUACGUGCCAGCAGCCGCGGUAAUACGUAGGUGGCGAGCGUUAUCCGGAAUUACUGGGUGUAAAGGGCGCGCAGGCGGCAUUAAAAGUCAGGUGUGAAAGCCCAAGGCUUAACUUUGGACGGUCAUCUGAAACUUUGGGGCUUGAGUAUCAGAGGGGAAAGUGGAAUUCCUAGUGUAGCGGUAAAAUGCACAGAGAUUAGGAGGAACAUCGGUGGCGAAGGCGACUUUCUGGCUGACAACUGACGCUGAGGUGCGAAAGUGUGGGGAGCAAACAGGAUUAGAUACCCUUGUA
This 440-nucleotide ribosomal RNA is filed under the name uncultured bacterium. RNAcentral describes it as "bacterial SSU rRNA". It matches the Rfam family "Bacterial small subunit ribosomal RNA", at positions 338 to 792 of the family's 1533-position model. The record is from RNAcentral.